AAAUUGAAGAGUUUGAUCAUGGCUCAGAUUGAACGCUGGCGGCAGGCCUAACACAUGCAAGUCGAGCGGUAGCACAGAGAGCUUGCUCUCGGGUGACGAGCGGCGGACGGGUGAGUAAUGUCUGGGAAACUGCCUGAUGGAGGGGGAUAACUACUGGAAACGGUAGCUAAUACCGCAUAAUGUCGCAAGACCAAAGUGGGGGACCUUCGGGCCUCAUGCCAUCAGAUGUGCCCAGAUGGGAUUAGCUAGUAGGUGGGGUAACGGCUCACCUAGGCG
RNAcentral lists this ribosomal RNA (276 nucleotides) under Klebsiella pneumoniae. RNAcentral describes it as "partial 16S ribosomal RNA". It matches the Rfam family "Bacterial small subunit ribosomal RNA", at positions 1 to 275 of the family's 1533-position model. Lineage: Bacteria; Pseudomonadati; Pseudomonadota; Gammaproteobacteria; Enterobacterales; Enterobacteriaceae. The record is from RNAcentral. RNAcentral also lists the same sequence under 1 other name.